RNAcentral lists this ribosomal RNA (253 nucleotides) under uncultured bacterium. RNAcentral describes it as "partial 16S ribosomal RNA". It matches the Rfam family "Bacterial small subunit ribosomal RNA", at positions 524 to 776 of the family's 1533-position model. The record is from RNAcentral.
CACGUAGGCAGCGAGCGUUGUUCGGAAUUACUGGGCGUAAAGGGCUCGUAGGCGGCCAACUAAGUCGGACGUGAAAUCCCUCGGCUUAACCGGGGAACUGCGUCCGAUACUGGAUGGCUGGAGGUUGGGAGAGGGAUGCGGAAUUCCAGGUGUAGCGGUGAAAUGCGUAGAUAUCAGGAGGAACACCGGUGGCGAAGGCGGUUCUCUGGGCAUGUCCUGACGCUGAGGAGCGAAAGUGUGGGGAGCGAACAGG